GAAUUGCGAUAACUAGUGUGAAUUGCAUUACUUUGUGAAUCAUCGAGUCUUUGAACGCACCUUGCACUGACUGGCCCUCCAGUCAGUAUAUCUGUUUGAGUAUCGUGACCCUCCUACUAGUUUAGGCUAGUGAAGUGGACUGCUAUCGAGAGAUAUAGUCUUGAAAGGAUUUUUCUCAAACGAGGCUGCCUACCCGAGCGAGCAGCUGUGACAAGUGCCUAGUGCCUUUGAAGCGAGCGAGUGAGUGAGGAGUGGGCGCUUCGUUGAGGGCAAAGUGGGGGAGGCAGUGAGUGUGCAUAUGUAUGCUCGUUGCUUCAACCAACACCAAUCAUACCGAUCUCAAAUCAGACAAGAUUACCCGCUAAACUUAA
RNAcentral lists this unclassified non-coding RNA (371 nucleotides) under uncultured Physalacriaceae. RNAcentral's name for it is "sequence contains ITS1". The stretch from base 1 to 105 matches the Rfam family "5.8S ribosomal RNA", at positions 50 to 154 of the family's 154-position model. Lineage: Eukaryota; Fungi; Basidiomycota; Agaricomycetes; Agaricales; Physalacriaceae. The record is from RNAcentral.